GCUACCAUGCAGUCGAGCGGAGAGAGGUAGCUUGCUACCGAUCUUAGCGGCGGACGGGUGAGUAAUGCUUAGGAAUCUGCCUAUUAGUGGGGGACAACAUUUCGAAAGGAAUGCUAAUACCGCAUACGUCCUACGGGAGAAAGCAGGGGAUCUUCGGACCUUGCGCUAAUAGAUGAGCCUAAGUCGGAUUAGCUAGUUGGUGGGGUAAAGGCCUACCAAGGCGACGAUCUGUAGCGGGUCUGAGAGGAUGAUCCGCCACACUGGGACUGAGACACGGCCCAGACUCCUACGGGAGGCAGCAGUGGGGAAUAUUGGACAAUGGGCGCAAGCCUGAUCCAGCCAUGCCGCGUGUGUGAAGAAGGCCUUAUGGUUGUAAAGCACUUUAAGCGAGGAGGAGGCUACUUUAGUUAAUACCUAGAGAUAGUGGACGUUACUCGCAGAAUAAGCACCGGCUAACUCUGUGCCAGCAGCCGCGGUAAUACAGAGGGUGCAAGCGUUAAUCGGAUUUACUGGGCGUAAAGCGCGCGUAGGCGGCUAAUUAAGUCAAAUGUGAAAUCCCCGAGCUUAACUUGGGAAUUGCAUUCGAUACUGGUUAGCUAGAGUGUGGGAGAGGAUGGUAGAAUUCCAGGUGUAGCGGUGAAAUGCGUAGAGAUCUGGAGGAAUACCGAUGGCGAAGGCAGCCAUCUGGCCUAACACUGACGCUGAGGUGCGAAAGCAUGGGGAGCAAACAGGAUUAGAUACCCUGGUAGUCCAUGCCGUAAACGAUGUCUACUAGCCGUUGGGGCCUUUGAGGCUUUAGUGGCGCAGCUAACGCGAUAAGUAGACCGCCUGGGGAGUACGGUCGCAAGACUAAAACUCAAAUGAAUUGACGGGGGCCCGCA
Molecule: ribosomal RNA, 881 nt
Filed under: Acinetobacter calcoaceticus
Lineage: Bacteria; Pseudomonadati; Pseudomonadota; Gammaproteobacteria; Moraxellales; Moraxellaceae
Description: bacterial SSU rRNA
Rfam family: Bacterial small subunit ribosomal RNA
Source: RNAcentral